AUACGGAGGGUGCAAGCGUUACUCGGAAUCACUGGGCGUAAAGCGCGCGCAGGCGGUGUUUUAAGUUGGAUGUGAAAGCCUACGGCUCAACCGUAGAACUGCAUCCAAAACUAUUAGACUAGAGUGUGGGAGAGGAAGAUGGAAUUAGUUGUGUAGGGGUAAAAUCCGUAGAGAUAACUAGGAAUACCAAAAGCGAAGGCAAUCUUCUGGAACACUACUGACGCUGAGGCGCGAAAGCGUGGGGAGCAAACAGGAUUAGAUACCCUAGUAGUCC
RNAcentral lists this ribosomal RNA (274 nucleotides) under uncultured bacterium. RNAcentral's name for it is "partial 16S ribosomal RNA". It matches the Rfam family "Bacterial small subunit ribosomal RNA", at positions 523 to 796 of the family's 1533-position model. The record is from RNAcentral.